RNAcentral lists this long non-coding RNA (2453 nucleotides) under Pan troglodytes (chimpanzee). Its description in RNAcentral is "long non-coding RNA NONPTRT009235". The record is from RNAcentral. Lineage: Eukaryota; Metazoa; Chordata; Mammalia; Primates; Hominidae.
CUUGUAGGUCACUCAGGACUUGCUUUAUGAAUCUUGGUGCUCCUGUAUUGGGUGCAUAUAUAUUUAGGAUAGUUAGCUCUUCUUGUUGAAUUGCGGGAAGCUCGAACUGGGUGGAGCCCACCACAGCUCAAGGAGGCCUGCCUGCCUCUGUAGGCUCCACCUCUGGGGGCAGGGCACAGACAAACAAAAAGACAGCAGUAACCUCUGCAGACUUAAAUGUCCCUGUCUGACAGCUUUGAAGAGAGCAGUGGUUCUCCCAGCACGUAGCUGGAGAUCUGAGAACGGGCAGACUGCCUCCUCAAGUGGGUCCCUGACCCCUGACCCCCGAGCAGCCUAACUGGGAGGCACCCCCCAGCAGGGGCAUACUGACACCUCACACGGCAGGGUACUCCAACAGACCUGCAGCUGAGGGUCCUGUCUGUUAGAAGGAAAACUAACAAACAGAAAGGACAUCCACACCAAAAACCCAUCUGUACAUCACCAUCAUCAAAGACCAAAAGUAGAUAAAACCACAAAGAUGGGGAAAAAACAGAACAGAAAAACUGGAAACUCUAAAAAGCAGAGCGCCUCUCCUCCUCCAAAGGAACGCAGUUCCUCACCAGCAACGGAACAAACCUGGAUGGAGAAUGACUUUCACGAGCUGAGAGAAGAAGGCUUCAGACGAUCAAAUUACUCUGAGCUAUGGGAGGACAUUCAAACCAAAGGCAAAGAAGUUGAAAACUUUGAAAAAAAUUUAGAAGAAUGUAUAACUAGAAUAACCAAUACAGAGAAGUGCUUAAAGGAGCUGAAAACCAAGGCUUGAGAACUACGUGAAGAAUGCAGAAGCCUCAGGAGCCGAUGCGAUCAACUGAAAGAAAGGUUAUCCAUUGGAUUACCUAGUCUACUCCAGACUUUAUAUGAGCCUCAGAAGAUUUGUCUGUGAAUACCACAGCCAUAGCCUUGAUCCUCAUCGAGUUGGGAGUUUCAUGAGAUUGUGGAACUAUACCUUGGUUCCUUUUCCAUAAGAUGGGACCAAGAAAUAGUUAAAACUAAAAACAGAUGUCACCUCACCAAGGGCUUUCCCUAAAAGAUAAAAUUAAUGGAUGGUGUAGUGAUCAGUACUGUGGGUCCUAGUAGUCUAACUUAGGCCACUUAAUAUAAUCUGUAUUUAAAACUAAAUUUGAUAUGAACUUUGGAGUCUUUAAAAACUAUUUACCUAUUUAACCUUUUUGUCUCUGUUUUAUCCUUGUUUUAUAGUUGUAAUUCUUUCUGAAAAGUUCUAAAUUAUUCUGGAGAACCAAAAGGAAGCAGGAUUUUUCCCCCUUUUAAGUCAGGAUAGACAGGGAAGCAAUAUGACUCUAGAUAAUUAACUUGGGAGUUCUGGCUGUCCUUGGGAGAGGGCCAGUGGCCCAGGAGGAAAGCCAGAUGGGGUCAGAGACCUCAAACUGACAGAUGUGGCAGUGGAGGGUUCCAGGAAGAAAGAUCAGAGCUUGCCCAGAAAAGAGAGCCACUUGCCCAGAUGCAAAACCCCAGAGGACUGAAGGUAAAGGCUUGUGCAGUAUUUUGGCUGAGUCAUGGGAGAAACUAGUCAGCAGCUAAGGUCAAGUUUAGGACAAAGAAUGCAUAUAAUUAAGAGGAAACCUCAGACAAACCCAAAUUAAGAGACAUUCUACUAAAUACCCGGUCUCUCCUUUUCAAAUGUGCCAAGUUUAUAAAGGACAAAGAAAGGCUGAGGAACUGUUCCAGAUUCAAGAGUAACAAAAGGACAUGAUGGAUUAGAGAGACAUGGCAACUAAAUACAACCUGUGAGUGCGGAUAAGAUCCUGGACUUGGAACCUUGGAUUUAGUGGGACAACUAGUAAACUUUGAAUAAGGCCUCUAUUGACUAGUUAAUAGUACUGAAUCAAUGUUAAUUUAUUGAUUUCGAUCAUUUAACUGUGAUUACAUAAGAAGAUGCCCUUGAUUUUAGGAAAUUCAUACUGAAACAUCUAGAGGUAAAGGAGUAUCAUGUGCAACCUUCAUUUAAACAUUUCAUAAUAAAGUGUGUAUGUGUGUCUGUGUGUGUGUCUGUGUGUGUGUAGAUAGGUGAUAGGUAGAUAGAAAGAUAGAAUGGUAAGCAAAUGUAGUACAUUUUUAAAAUUUGCAGACAAUCUAAGUAAAGGUCAUAUACUCUUUUAAAUUUUUUCUAUAAGUCUGAAAUUAUUUUAAAACAAAAAGUGAACGAUAAUAACACACAGUUAAGAAGAAAAAAAGACAGUCUCUGCCAUCAAGGAGCUCACAGCCUCAUGAAAACAGAUGGGCAAGUCACCAUAAAGACAUAAAUGUAGCUGAGCAAACUACAGAGUGUUAUAAGGGCAUGGAGGAUAGGAUAUAAUUUCUAGAAGUAAAAGAGAAUAAAAAUUGUCUAGGAAAGACAGUAAGUUUGAGUUAAGCAAAUUCAUUGUCUUCCUAGCCUUUAAUAAAUUAUUUAGCCU